GCCGCGUGAGUGAGGAAGGUUUUCGGAUUGUAAAGCUCUGUCGAGCGGAAAGAAGUGCAUGGUGGUUAAUAUCCAUCAUGCUUGACGGUACCGCUAAAGGAAGCACCGGCUAACUCCGUGCCAGCAGCCGCGGUAAUACGGGGGGUGCAAGCGUUGUUCGGAAUCAUUGGGCGUAAAGCGCGUGUAGGCGGCUGGACAAGUCAGAUGUGAAAGCCCUGGGCUUAACCCAGGAAGUGCAUUUGAAACUGUUCAGCUAGAGUAAGGGAGAGGAAAGUGGAAUUCCUGGUGUAGAGGUGAAAUUCGUAGAUAUCAGGAGGAACACCGGUGGCGAAGGCGACUUUCUGGCCCUAUACUGACGCUGAGACGCGAAAGCGUGGGUAGCAAACAGGAUUAGAUACCCUGGUAGUCCACGCUGUAAACGAUGUUCACUAGGUGUUGGGGGUAUUGACCCUUCCAGUGCCGCAGCUAACGCAUUAAGUGAACCGCCUGGGGAGUACGGUCGCAGAUUAAAACUCAAGGAAUU
Molecule: ribosomal RNA, 523 nt
Filed under: uncultured bacterium
Lineage: Bacteria
Description: bacterial SSU rRNA
Rfam family: Bacterial small subunit ribosomal RNA
Source: RNAcentral